AACGAAACACCUCUUCAAAACAAAUUUGAAAGAAAAAGUCUAUAAAACCUAAAUCUAACCUAAUCUUCAAUCUCAUACCUUAGUCGCUCUCACCUCUCGCUCAUAGUCUCACGCUCAAAUGGAUAAACGACAUCGUGUAAUCGUGCAUCCUUGGCUCCUCCUUGCCUCCCUCUUCGUUCAUCACCUCCGCUAUACCUCCUCAUAUCAUCUUCGCCCUUCACUUUAGACUUUCUCCGCCUCCAAGCUUCAGAAUUUCACCAUCUGAAGUGAAGAACUUCGGCCAACACCGAAGAACUCAACAACAUUAGGCGAUUUCUUAUGAUUUCAGGUAAACAUACAUAAUUAGAUACACAUUUACUUUAAGUUUUAGUACAUAUUUAAUUUUCUUUUUGUGCUUUGAUUCUUAUAAGUACAAGAAGCAUAUGUUUCUUUUUGUAAUUUAACAAUCUUGUAAUUGUUUAUACUUCACAUAAACACUGCAAAUUUGUAUUUGUUUAUAUUUAAGUCAUUAGCAAACUAACAAUGGUGUAUAAAGUUUACUAUAUAAUGAGCUUACGAGAGGUUAUAAAUGUGUUUAAGUAUCUAAUUCUAUUUUUAUACCUGAUUAUUUCACAUUAUAGUUGUCUAUGUGUGUAAUUGUGUAUGUUUUUAACAAUAUGGCUCUAAUUAUAGUAUAUGUUUGUUGUUUUAGAAUGGCUACAAAUGAAGGUGUAAUAGAUGUGGACGAUCAAAAUGAUGAAGUUGAAGUCCCUGGAAGAAAAUAAGCCAAAGUUGAAGUCACUUGUUUGGCAACAUUUUCCAUAUAAGAAAUGUGCUAAAAAGUCAAAAUGCAAACAUUUUAAAAUGGUUUUAGCAUGUGGAACUAGAGUUAAUGGUACCUCUGAGUUAGUGAGUCAUCUAAAAAAUACUUGUGUAAGAUCCCCCUUUACAAAAAGAGAAAAAAUGAUUCAAAAAAUCAAUCAAUCUUAAACUUCAAGCCAAAGAGACAGAAGGGGGUGAGUCUUUAAUGAGAAGAUGAUGGGUUUAAAAAUUGGUAAGGUUUUCUUUAUAUGUUUGAGUUCAUAUUUCAAAUAUACUUUUAUAUAUAUAUAUAUAUAUAUAUAUAUAUAUAUAUAUAU
Molecule: long non-coding RNA, 1118 nt
Filed under: Lactuca sativa (garden lettuce)
Lineage: Eukaryota; Viridiplantae; Streptophyta; Magnoliopsida; Asterales; Asteraceae
Description: long non-coding RNA (LSAT_LNC004706)
Source: RNAcentral